RNAcentral lists this ribosomal RNA (468 nucleotides) under uncultured bacterium. RNAcentral describes it as "partial 16S ribosomal RNA". It matches the Rfam family "Bacterial small subunit ribosomal RNA", at positions 28 to 507 of the family's 1533-position model. The record is from RNAcentral.
GACGAACGCUGGCGGCGUGCUUAACACAUGCAAGUCGAACGGAAAGGCCCUGCUUUUGUGGGGUGCUCGAGUGUCGAACGGGUGAGUAACACGUUAGUAACCUGCCCUUGACUUUGGGAUAACUUCAGGAAACUGGGGCUAAUACCGGAUAGGAGCUCCUGCUGCAUGGUGGGGGUUGGAAAGUUUCGGCGGUUGGGGAUGGACUGGCGGCUUAUCAGCUUGUUGGUGGGGUAGUGGCUUACCAAGGCUUUGACGGGUAGCCGGCCUGAGAGGGUGACCGGCCACAUUGGGACUGAGAUGCGGCCCAGACUCCUACGGGAGGCAGCAGUAGGGAAGAUUGCACAAUGGGCGGAAGACUGAUGCAGCAACGCCGCGUGCGGGAUGACGGACUUCGGGUUGUAAACCGCUUUCGCCUGUGACGAAGCGUGAGUGACGGUAAUGGGUAAAGAAGCACCGGCUAACUACGUG